RNAcentral lists this ribosomal RNA (475 nucleotides) under uncultured organism. RNAcentral describes it as "partial 16S ribosomal RNA". It matches the Rfam family "Bacterial small subunit ribosomal RNA", at positions 330 to 797 of the family's 1533-position model. The record is from RNAcentral.
CGUACACUCCUGCGGGAGGCAGCAGUGGGGAAUUUUGGACAAUGGGCGAAAGCCUGAUCCAGCCAUGCCGCGUGCAGGAUGAAGGCCUUCGGGUUGUAAACUGCUUUUGUACGGAACGAAACGGCCUUUUCUAAUAAAGAGGGCUAAUGACGGUACCGUAAGAAUAAGCACCGGCUAACUACGUGCCAGCAGCCGCGGUAAUACGUAGGGUGCAAGCGUUAAUCGGAAUUACUGGGCGUAAAGCGUGCGCAGGCGGUUAUGUAAGACAGUUGUGAAAUCCCCGGGCUCAACCUGGGAACUGCAUCUGUGACUGCACAGCUAGAGUACGGUAGAGGGGGAUGGAAUUCCGCGUGUAGCAGUGAAAUGCGUAGAUAUGCGGAGGAACACCGAUGGCGAAGGCAAUCCCCUGGACCUGUACUGACGCUCAUGCACGAAAGCGUGGGGAGCAAACAGGAUUAGAUACCCGUGUAGUCCC